CCUACGGGAGGCAGCAGUGGGGAAUAUUGGGCAAUGGAGGCAACUCUGAACCAGCAACGCCGCGUGCAUGAAGACGGUUUUCGGAGUGUAAAGCUCUUUUCGUAGGGACGAAAAUACCGACACUUGCUUAGGGAUGAGACUCUGCUAACUACGUGCCAGCGGCCGCGGUAAUACGUCGGAGGCGAGCGUAAUCCGGAAUGACUGGGCGUACAGGGUGCGUAGGUGGUUCGGUAAGUUAGUAGCGUAACUCCGAGGCUCAACCCUGGAACUGCCACUAAGACUGUUGGGCUUGAGUGUAGGUGGGGUAGGCGGAAUGCAUGGUGUAGCGGUGGAAUGCGUAGAGAUCAGGCGGAACACCGGUUGCGAAGGCGGGUUGCCAGACUGUAACUGACGUUGAGGCACGAAAGCGUGGGGAGCAAACAGGAUUAGAUACCCUGGUAGUC
This 443-nucleotide ribosomal RNA is filed under the name uncultured bacterium. RNAcentral describes it as "partial 16S ribosomal RNA". It matches the Rfam family "Bacterial small subunit ribosomal RNA", at positions 338 to 795 of the family's 1533-position model. The record is from RNAcentral.